Molecule: long non-coding RNA, 457 nt
Organism: Populus euphratica (Euphrates poplar)
Lineage: Eukaryota; Viridiplantae; Streptophyta; Magnoliopsida; Malpighiales; Salicaceae
Exons: 3
Source: RefSeq, a predicted model, not a curated record
GCACAAAGAUGUGUAGAAUUAAUACAAUAUAAUUCUUAUUGGGGAUGAUGUUCUUGAGAUCAACCAAUUGAGAUCUUCCCUCUCAUCAACAUUUGAGAUUUAAGGAUUUAGGGUCCCUCAAGUAUUUCCUUGAAAUAAAGAUUGCUCGAUCAAAGAAGGGGAUUGGUUUCUCCUAACAGAAGUAUUUCCUUAAUCUUCUUAAGGAGUUUGGGUGGUUGUAGGCCAGCAGACACUCUAAUAGAUCCCAAUCAAAAACUUGGAGAUGACAAGAAAGGUAGGCUAGUGAAUACAACAUAGUAUCAAAAGUCGAUGGAAAAAAUGAUUUACUUAUCACAUACAUGACCCAAUAUUGCAUUUGCUUUGAGCUUAGCAAGUCAGUUUAUGCACUAAACUACACAAAACAUCUUGAGGCAGUUUAUAAGUUUAUCGGAUUCUCAGAUACUUGAAAAGUACAUCA